UCGAGGGGCAGCGGGGAGCAAGCUUGCUUGCUCUGCCGGCGACCGGCGCACGGGUGAGUAACACGUAUGCAACCUGCCCUCCGCAGGGGGAUAACCCGGAGAAAUCCGGACUAAUACCGCGUGGUACACCUGUGGGGCAUCCCACGGGUGUUAAAAGGAAGUGAUUCCGGCGGAGGAUGGGCAUGCGGCGCAUUAGCUUGUUGGCGGGGUAACGGCCCACCAAGGCUACGAUGCGUAGGGGUUCUGAGAGGAAGGUCCCCCACACUGGUACUGAGACACGGACCAGACUCCUACGGGAGGCAGCAGUGAGGAAUAUUGGUCAAUGGGCGGGAGCCUGAACCAGCCAAGUCGCGUGAGGGAAGACGGUCCUAUGGAUUGUAAACCUCUUUAGGCGGGGAGCAAUGCCGGGCACGCGUGCCCGGAGGGAGAGUACCCGCAGAAUAAGCAUCGGCUAACUCCGUGCCAGCAGCCGCGGUAAUACGGAGGAUGCGAGCGUUAUCCGGAUUUAUUGGGUUUAAAGGGUGCGUAGGCGGAUUUUUAAGUCAGCGGUAAAAUGUCCGGGCUCAACCCGGGCCGGCCGUUGAAACUGGGGAUCUUGAGUGGGCGAGAAGUAUGCGGAAUGCGUGGUGUAGCGGUGAAAUGCAUAGAUAUCACGCAGAACUCCGAUUGCGAAGGCAGCAUACCGGCGCCCGACUGACGCUGAGGCACGAAAGCGUGGGGAUCGAACAGGAUUAGAUACCCUGGUAGUCCACGCAGUAAACGAUGAAUACUAACUGUCCGGGCAGAAUGAUGCCUGGGUGGUACAGCG
Molecule: ribosomal RNA, 808 nt
Filed under: uncultured bacterium
Lineage: Bacteria
Description: bacterial SSU rRNA
Rfam family: Bacterial small subunit ribosomal RNA
Source: RNAcentral